This 365-nucleotide long non-coding RNA is filed under the name Pogona vitticeps (central bearded dragon). Its description in RNAcentral is "lncRNA (ENSPVIG00000024886.1)". Lineage: Eukaryota; Metazoa; Chordata; Lepidosauria; Squamata; Agamidae. The record is from RNAcentral.
GGGCUGCCCUCCCUUGGUUUCCAUGGCAACCAAGGCCUGCGCAAAGACCCUCCCCUCCCUCGAGGGUGGGUUUGUUGGGGGGUUUUUUGGAGGGAAAUGGCCCCCUGAGGCGAGCCUCCACCUCCACCUUCUCCACAGCCCGCUGGCCUUUGGGCCUGAACCUCCCAUGAUACACAGACACUUCUCUAGCAUCUGUUUCUGACAAUUUGAGCCAGUUGCCUUGCAAUACAGUAAAUUCAGGAUUGGAGGCAGGCAGUAGAAAUUAAUACUUUGGAAACUAAGUUGUCAUCCCUCCACCACCCCCACUAGCACGUUUGACAAGAUGCGUCUUGCUUAACUGGUGAGUCGUUCAGUGGAUUAUACAA